UACGGGGGGAGCAAGCGUUGUUCGGAUUUACUGGGCGUAAAGGGCGCGUAGGCGGUCAGUGCAAGUCAGUUGUGAAAUCUCCGGGCUUAACUCGGAAAGGUCAACUGAUACUGCUCGACUAGAGUGCGGAAGGGGCAACUGGAAUUCUUGGUGUAGCGGUGAAAUGCGUAGAUAUCAAGAGGAACACCUGCGGCGAAGGCGGGUUGCUGGGCCGACACUGACGCUGAUGCGCGAAAGCGUGGGGAGCGAACAGG
Molecule: ribosomal RNA, 254 nt
Filed under: uncultured bacterium
Lineage: Bacteria
Description: partial 16S ribosomal RNA
Rfam family: Bacterial small subunit ribosomal RNA
Source: RNAcentral